CCUGUUAUGUCUCUGUGUCUCUGAUCUCCAGGUUGGAGGAUAAUAAUCUGACAGCUGAUUGUACAGAGGAUCUGACCUCCGCUCUCAGCACAAACCACUCACUGACGCAGCUGUACCUCAAUAUUGAUGAUCUGGGAGAUUGUGGAGUGAAGCCACUGUGUGAGGCUUUGAGGAACCCGGUGUUUAAAAUACCGAAAGUGGAGCUGGAGAGCAAUAAUCUGGGAGAUUGUGGAGUGAAGCGACUGUGUGAGUCUCUGAGGAACUCGGAGUGUACAAUACAGAGACUGUGGUUGGACAGUAACAGACUGACCGAUGGCUGCACUGAUGAUCUGGUCUCCGCUCUCAGUACAAACCGCUCACUGAGGAUCCUGGACCUGGAGUGUAACUCGUUCACAGACGGCUCUGUCCCCGCUCUCCGCCGCCUCAUACAGACCUGCACCAGUCUGGAGGAGAUCAGGCUUUGGGGGAAUGGGUUCAGUUCAGACGGAAAGAAUCAACUGAAGUCACUGCGGGGAAUCAGAGCUGAGCUGUCAGUGGAAGUUUGAAACUGAC
Molecule: RNA transcript, 552 nt
Organism: Callorhinchus milii (elephant shark)
Lineage: Eukaryota; Metazoa; Chordata; Chondrichthyes; Chimaeriformes; Callorhinchidae
Gene name: ribonuclease inhibitor-like
Exons: 4
Source: RefSeq, a predicted model, not a curated record